RNAcentral lists this ribosomal RNA (529 nucleotides) under uncultured bacterium. RNAcentral's name for it is "bacterial SSU rRNA". It matches the Rfam family "Bacterial small subunit ribosomal RNA", at positions 777 to 1304 of the family's 1533-position model. The record is from RNAcentral.
AAUAGAUACCCGGAUAGUCCACGCCGUAAACGAUGAGUGCUAAGUGUUAGAGGGUUUCCGCCCUUUAGUGCUGCAGCUAACGCAUUAAGCACUCCGCCUGGGGAGUACGGUCGCAAGACUGAAACUCAAAGGAAUUGACGGGGGCCCGCGCAAGCGGUGGAGCAUGUGGUUUAAUUCGAAGCAACGCGAAGAACCUUACCAGGUCUUGACAUCCCACUGACCGGUAUAGAGAUAUACCUUUCCCUUCGGGGACAGUGGUGACAGGUGGUGCAUGGUUGUCGUCAGCUCGUGUCGUGAGAUGUUGGGUUAAGUCCCGCAACGAGCGCAACCCUUGAUCUUAGUUGCCAGCAUUUAGUUGGGCACUCUAAGGUGACUACCGGUGACAAACCGGAGGAAGGUGGGGAUGACGUCAAAUCAUCAUGCCCCUUAUGACCUGGACUACACACGUGCUACAAUGGAUGGUACAAAGGGCUGCAAGACUGCGAAGUCAAGCCAAUCCCAUAAAACCAUUCUCAGUUCGGAUUGCAGG